Pogoniulus pusillus (Red-fronted tinkerbird) is the source of this 941-nucleotide long non-coding RNA. RefSeq lists it as uncharacterized. The record is from RefSeq and is a predicted model, not a curated record. Lineage: Eukaryota; Metazoa; Chordata; Aves; Piciformes; Lybiidae. The transcript is spliced from 2 exons.
CCAGCUGAAAAAGGUUUAAACCUCAGAAAUGCUUGUCUUGCUCAUUAGCAUCUCAUUGAAGGACUAGUUACAAAGAGGAGAGCAGCUACUGCCUUGUCUGGGAAACAAGCAGAGCUGCAGGGGUUCGGCUGAGCCUCCAGAGGUCUCCAGGAUCUCAAAAGGGUCUGUUUAUUUAUUUGAAUGGCUAAAGAUCUGAUGAGGGGAGAAAAGUUCUAAUGUAUUUGCAAACCUGAGAAAGCUGGAGAGCAACUGUGGAAUCGUAGAGUCAGUCAGGGUUGGAAGGGACCACAAGGAUCAUCUACUUCCAACCCAGCUGCUCAUGACCUUUCAUAGGACACAAUAAUUUGGCUCAUGUUUCCUUCAGCAUUGUCUUCAGCAUGCAGGAGCUGGAUGUGUUUGCUGGUGUCCCAAGAGCAGAGCAGCCCUCUACUCCUGUGAUGCCUUUAUCCCAUCCAACUGCAGUUUGUUGACUCUACUGAGAGGCUCAGACUUAGGAAUGCCCUUGGCCUGUGAUGCCCUCAUAUAAGAUGCACCCAGCUCUGUGUUGCCUUCUGGAGUAACUUCUCCCCUUCCAGGACCUGAGUGAGAUGUCCUGCUCUGCAUGGCUCCAGGUUAAAGCACUUAGGAGUCCAGACACGGGCUUCACCGAGGCACAGUUUCUCAGUCACGCUCAACAUGAAAAAUAACCUCUGCUUUGCUUUUCUCAUUUCUCCUGCACCAGCUUUUCUAAAGAGACACAGAACGAGGGUGUAGUGGGCAAUUUACCAGGUGAUGGAUGCGAUGGGAGAGAUAUUUCACUUUUCCAUGGCUGCCUCUGACUUGCUGAUAGCAUAAAAGUUAUUUAUAAGGCUAAAAAGGUACUAUGUGCAAACAAACUCAUUAAUACCUGAUGCUUUCAAAGCAUUCUGUCAAAAAAUAAUAAAUCUGAGUUCCCAAAGUCA